RNAcentral lists this ribosomal RNA (498 nucleotides) under uncultured Glomeromycotina. Its description in RNAcentral is "partial small subunit ribosomal RNA". It matches the Rfam family "Eukaryotic small subunit ribosomal RNA", at positions 591 to 1092 of the family's 1831-position model. The record is from RNAcentral. Lineage: Eukaryota; Fungi; Glomeromycota.
CCAAUAGCGUAUAUUAAAGUUGUUGCAGUUAAAAAGCUCGUAGUUGAAUUUCGGGAUCAAUAUAUUGGUCGUGCCUUGGUACGUACUAAUUUAUUGGUCUCUUCCUUCUGACGAACCAUGAUGUCAUUAAUUUGGUGUUAUGGGGAAUCAGGACUGUUACUUUGAAAAAAUUAGAGUGUUUAAAGCAGGCUCACGCUUGAAUAAAUUAGCAUGGAAUAAUGAAAUAGGACGUUUGAUUCUAUUUUGUUGGUUUCUAGGAUCGACGUAAUGAUUAAUAGGGAUAGUUGGGGGCAUUAGUAUUCAAUUGUCAGAGGUGAAAUUCUUGGAUUUAUUGAAGACUAACUACUGCGAAAGCAUUUGCCAAGGAUGUUUUCAUUAAUCAAGAACGAAAGUUAGGGGAUCGAAGACGAUCAGAUACCGUCGUAGUCUUAACCAUAAACUAUGCCGACUAGGGAUCGGAUGAUGUUAAUUUUUUAAUGACUCAUUCGGCGCCUUACG